GCAAAGAGAUUCUGCUUGGAUCUGAAUCAUCAUUAUACCAAUAAUAUCACCUUUAACAGCUUGGAGCAAAGUGUCGUUCAACGUCCCAUCCAGACUUACAAUCACCUUCUGUUGAUCAAUCAUAAUCACCCUGUAGACUGUAGACUCCAUUGAGUAGCCGAGGAAAAUAUUCUUUGAUUUUCAAAUGCAAGACUUUCAAAGAGGCAUUUUCCUCCAAACACAUACCAAGAGUUAGUGUUUGCUUCUGAUUGGCCACUGGAAAGAAUGGUGUCUUUCUGGAUUUAUCAAUGAUCAGGGUUCAUCUUGAUCAACCUUCAUUUGUGACAUCUUGUCCUUCGAACACAUAUGAACAACACAAAAGACUCUAGAGUAGUCAACGAUCAUCACAAAAAGAUAUCUGGCUUUGUUGUAGAUAUAACAUUAACUGAUCCGUAGAAAUCCAUAUGUAUCAUCUGAAGUGGCUCAGUAAUGUUGAUCAUAUCUUUGCUUCUUUGUGAUGCUCCUUCGACUUCCCUAUUGACAUACCUCAUAAGCUUCAUCCAUAUAGAAUCCCAGAUGAGGUAGUCCUCUCACCAAUUCUCUUCUUACGAAUAAAAAGAGCUCCUUGUUUUGACAUACAAGUGUGAGAGCUUCAUGUUCCAUAGCUAACACUCAUCCGAUGAAGCUUUACUAUCGAAAUAGCUCACUCCAUCUUCAGUUGAAGUUCCAUAUUAGCUACGAGCAGAUUCACAUCUUUCCUGAUUUGAGAUAAAGCACUAUUCCAUGAACUGACAUAAUGUCCUUUGUCAGAGAACAGUCUGAUACUCAGAAUUUGUGUGCUUUGACUCUUCCAAGAAAGAUAUACUUCCAUGAUGACAUUUCAUAAAAGGAGCAUGUUCCAUAAGAGAAUCUUUGUUGUCAUCUUCCAAAGAUUAUUGACG
RNAcentral lists this long non-coding RNA (920 nucleotides) under Daucus carota (carrot). RNAcentral's name for it is "long non-coding RNA (DCAR_LNC000150)". Lineage: Eukaryota; Viridiplantae; Streptophyta; Magnoliopsida; Apiales; Apiaceae. The record is from RNAcentral.